Molecule: ribosomal RNA, 468 nt
Filed under: uncultured bacterium
Lineage: Bacteria
Description: partial 16S ribosomal RNA
Rfam family: Bacterial small subunit ribosomal RNA
Source: RNAcentral
GACGAACGCUGGCGGCGUGCUUAACGCAUGCAAGUCGAACGGAAAGGCCCUGCUUUUGUGGGGUGCUCGAGUGGCGAACGGGUGAGUAACACGUGAGUAACCUGCCCUUGACUUUGGGAUAACUUCAGGAAACUGGGGCUAAUACCGGAUAGGAGCUCCUGCUGCAUGGUGGGGGUUGGAAAGUUUCGGCGGUUGGGGAUGGACUCGCGACUUAUCAGCUUGUUGGUGGGGUAGUGGCUUACCAAGGCUUUGACGGGUAGCCGGCCUGAGAGGGUGACCGGCCACAUUGGGACUGAGAUACGGCCCAGACUCCUACGGGAGGCAGCAGUGGGGAAUAUUGCACAAUGGGCGGAAGCCUGAUGCAGCAACGCCGCGUGCGGGAUGACGGCCUUCGGGUUGUAAACCGCUUUCGCCUGUGACGAAGCGUGAGUGACGGUAAUGGGUAAAGAAGCACCGGCUAACUACGUG